Molecule: ribosomal RNA, 262 nt
Filed under: uncultured bacterium
Lineage: Bacteria
Description: partial 16S ribosomal RNA
Rfam family: Bacterial small subunit ribosomal RNA
Source: RNAcentral
GUCCACGCUGUAAACGAUGGGCACUAGGUGCUCGGGUAUUGACCCCUGGGUGCCGUAGCUAACGCAUUAAGUGCCCCGCCUGGGGACUACGGCCGCAAGGCUAAAACUCAAAGGAAUUGACGGGGCCCGCACAAGCGGUGGAGCAUGUGGUUCAAUUCGACGCAACGCGAAGAACCUUACCUGGGCUAGACAACAGGAGACAACCCCAGAAAUGGGGCUUUCCCUUCGGGGACUCCUGGUUCAGGUGCUGCAUGGCUGUCGU